CCGAGUGAGGGCCCCUGGCCCGACCUCCAACCCUCUGUUAUCAAAACCACUGUUGCCUCGGGGGCGACCCGGACCUCGCGGUUUCGGGGCCCCCGGCGGACAAUCUCAAAACCCUGCAUCUUUGCGUCGGGUUCAAAAGUUUAAUUGAUUA
RNAcentral lists this unclassified non-coding RNA (151 nucleotides) under uncultured fungus. Its description in RNAcentral is "sequence contains ITS1, 5.8S rRNA gene". Lineage: Eukaryota; Fungi. The record is from RNAcentral.